UGGGGAAUAUUGCACAAUGGACGGAAGUUUGAUGCAGCGACGCCGCGUGGAGGGUGUAGGCCUUCGGGUUGUGAACUCCUUUUUCUCGCGAAAAAGGCACAGUUUUGGCUGUGUUGAUGGUAGUGGGGGAAGAAGCGCCGGCUAACUACGUGCCAGCAGCCGCGGUAAUACGUAGGGCGCGAGCGUUGUCCGGAUUUAUUGGGCGUAAAGAGCUCGUAGGUGGUUCGUCGCGUCUGUCGUGAAAGCCAGCAGCUUAACUGUUGGUCUGCGGUGGGUACGGGCGGGCUUGAGUGCGGUAGGGGUGACUGGAAUUCCUGGUGUAGCGGUGGAAUGAACAGAUAUCAGGAGGAACACCGAUGGCGAAGGCAGGUCACUGGGCCGUUACUGACACUGAGGAGCGAAAGCGUGGGGAGCGAACAGG
RNAcentral lists this ribosomal RNA (421 nucleotides) under Fusobacteriota bacterium. RNAcentral describes it as "Fusobacteria bacterium partial 16S ribosomal RNA". It matches the Rfam family "Bacterial small subunit ribosomal RNA", at positions 355 to 776 of the family's 1533-position model. The record is from RNAcentral. Lineage: Bacteria; Fusobacteriati; Fusobacteriota.